GACGAACGCUGGCGGCGUGCUUAACACAUGCAAGUCGAACGGAAAGGCCCUGCUUUUGUGGGGUGCUCGAGUGGCGAACGGGUGAGUAACACGUGAGUAACCUGCCCUUGACUUUGGGAUAACUUCAGGAAACUGGGGCUAAUACCGGAUAGGAGCUCCUGCUGCAUGGUGGGGGUUGGAAAGUUUCGGCGGUUGGGGAUGGACUCGCGGCUUAUCAGCUUGUUGGUGGGGUAGUGGCUUACCAAGGCUUUGACGGGUAGCCGGCCUGAGAGGGUGACCGGCCACAUUGGGACUGAGAUACGGCCCAGACUCCUACGGGAGGCAGCAGUGGGGAAUAUUGCACAAUGGGCGGAAGCCUGAUGCAGCAACGCCGCGUGCGGGAUGACGGCCUUCGGGUUGUAAACCGCUUUCGCCUGUGACGAAGCGUGAGUGACGGUAAUGGGUAAAGAAGCACCGGCUAACUACGUGCCAGCAGCCGCGGUGAUACGUAGGGUGCGAGCGUUGUCCGGAUUUAUUGGGCGUAAAGGGCUCGUAGGUGGUUGAUCGCGUCGGAAGUGUAAUCUUGGGGCUUAACCCUGAGCGUGCUUUCGAUACGGGUUGACUUGAGGAAGGUAGGGGAGAAUGGAAUUCCUGGUGGAGCGGUGGAAUGCGCAGAUAUCAGGAGGAACACCAGUGGCGAAGGCGGUUCUCUGGGCCUUUCCUGACGCUGAGGAGCGAAAGCGUGGGGAGCGAACAGGCUUAGAUACCCUGGUAGUCCACGCUGUAAACGGUGGGUACUAGGUGUGGGGUCCAUUCCACGGGUUCCGUGCCGUAGCUAACGCUUUAAGUACCCCGCCUGGGGAGUACGGCCGCAAGGCUAAAACUCAAAGGAAUUGACGGGGCCCCGCACAAGCGGCGGAGCAUGCGGAUUAAUUCGAUGCAACGCGUAGAACCUUACCUGGGUUUGACAUGGAUCGGGAGUGCUCAGAGAUGGGUGUGCCUCUUUUGGGGUCGGUCCACAGGUGGUGCAUGGCUGUCGUCAGCUCGUGUCGUGAGAUGUUGGGUUAAGUCCCGCAACGAGCGCAACCCUUGUUCACUGUUGCCAGCACGUUAUGGUGGGGACUCAGUGGAGACCGCCGGGGUCAACUCGGAGGAAGGUGGGGAUGACGUCAAGUCAUCAUGCCCCUUAUGUCCAGGGCUUCACGCAUGCUACAAUGGCUGGUACAGAGAGUGGCGAGCCUGUGAGGGUGAGCGAAUCUCGGAAAGCCGGUCUCAGUUCGGAUUGGGGUCUGCAACUCGACCUCAUGAAGUCGGAGUCGCUAGUGAUCGCAGAUCAGCAACGCUGCGGUGAAUACGUUCCCGGG
Molecule: ribosomal RNA, 1343 nt
Filed under: uncultured bacterium
Lineage: Bacteria
Description: 16S ribosomal RNA
Rfam family: Bacterial small subunit ribosomal RNA
Source: RNAcentral